This 773-nucleotide unclassified non-coding RNA is filed under the name Limulus polyphemus (Atlantic horseshoe crab). Its description in RNAcentral is "partner of Y14 and mago-like, transcript variant X1". Lineage: Eukaryota; Metazoa; Arthropoda; Merostomata; Xiphosura; Limulidae. The record is from RNAcentral.
GUCAAUAGUGAUCGCUAAAAGAAAGGUAGUGUAAAUAGGCCAUGUCUCCUUAGAAUGGCAGCACAAUAUGUAACAGAUGAAACCGGGACUUACAUCCCAGCUACACAGAGGACAGAUGGAUCAUGGCGAAAGGCAAGGAGAGUAAAAGAAGGAUAUAUUCCGCAAGAUGAAGUCCCCCUUUAUGAAAGCAAAGGAAAACAGUGGGCCAAAAGUAAACCAGCCUUUCCUCCAGGUCUUCAUCCUGAAGAAGUAGCUAAGACACAACAAGCUCAAUCAGGUGCAAACCAAAUACCAGGACUGACAGGAACACCAACACCUAAUGUUUCAAAAUCAAGUAAAAAGAAGAAGAAGAAGAAGCAACAGCAAGAGGUUAAAACUAUUGACCAGAAUUUAACAGAAGAUGUUACCAAGCUUCACAUAUGUGAAACUGGUUUGGAUAGGAACAAUGAAUCUAGUGAGAAUAAAACCUGCCAAGAAACAUUCAGUGACCCAGCAAAGAGGAUUAAAAACUUAAAAAAAAAGUUAAGGGAGAUUGUAAAACUUGAGCAAAAAAUAGAGUCAGGUGAAAUUACUAACCCUGAAAAAGAUCAGUUAGAAAAAAUUGCUAGAAAAGGAGAGAUUGAAGCUGAAAUAGAAGAUCUGGAACUAGACCUAGAACUUCAAGACAGUUAACUGACUUAGCCAGUACAACACUGAAUAGAUACCAGAAAAUUGGAGAUAAAGAAACAGAAAAUCCAAUUUUUGACCACAUGCUAGUGACAAAGGAUUCACAA